This 497-nucleotide ribosomal RNA is filed under the name uncultured bacterium. RNAcentral describes it as "partial 16S ribosomal RNA". It matches the Rfam family "Bacterial small subunit ribosomal RNA", at positions 28 to 507 of the family's 1533-position model. The record is from RNAcentral.
GACGAACGCUGGCGGCGUGCCUAAUACAUGCAAGUUGAGCGCUGAAGGUUGGUACUUGUACCAACUGGAUGAGCAGCGAACGGGUGAGUAACGCGUGGGGAAUCUGCCUUUGAGCGGGGGACAACAUUUGGAAACGAAUGCUAAUACCGCAUAAAAACUUUAAACACAAGUUUUAAGUUUGAAAGAUGCAAUUGCAUCACUCAAAGAUGAUCCCGCGUUGUAUUAGCUAGUUGGUGAGGUAAAGGCUCACCAAGGCGAUGAUACAUAGCCGACCUGAGAGGGUUAUCGGCCACAUUGGGACUGAGACACGGCCCAAACUCCUACGGGAGGCAGCAGUAGGGAAUCUUCGGCAAUGGACGAAAGUCUGACCGAGCAACGCCGCGUGAGUGAAGAAGGUUUUCGGAUCGUAAAACUCUGUUGGUAGAGAAGAACGUUGGUGAGGGUGGAAAGCUCAUCAAGUGACGGUAACUACCCAGAAAGGGACGGCUAACUACGUG